RNAcentral lists this unclassified non-coding RNA (164 nucleotides) under uncultured Agaricomycetes. RNAcentral describes it as "sequence contains ITS1". The record is from RNAcentral. Lineage: Eukaryota; Fungi; Basidiomycota; Agaricomycetes.
UUGAUUUUAAGAAGAUGUGCUGGCUCUUGCAUGUGCACUCUUCAACAAAACCAAUAUCCACCUGUGCACACUCUGUAGGUGAAGGGUUGCAAAACUCUAAGCCUAUGUCUCUUUACAAACAACCAUUGAUGUAUCUGAAUGUCAUUGAAUAACCAAUUGUAAUA